Molecule: long non-coding RNA, 2520 nt
Organism: Monodelphis domestica (gray short-tailed opossum)
Lineage: Eukaryota; Metazoa; Chordata; Mammalia; Didelphimorphia; Didelphidae
Source: Ensembl
AGAGGGAGAGGGUUUGCAGGGGGAGGGGAAGAGACUCCCCCCUUUUCGGCGCAGCUCCCCUCCUUUUCCAAACUUGUGGGCAAUGCUGCCCCCAGCAAAGCAAUCCAGAGCCCCAAAGGAAGGCUUCCUCCCGCCCCCACCCCACCCCCAUCGCCCUCUUCCAGUCUUACCUGUCCGAAAAAACGCAUCCACGUCCGAGUCGGCGGCUCCUCCUUCCUCCGCUACCCCCUCCGGGGGGUUCAUGACUGGGGAGGGGGCUCUGCGGGCAGCCCCCGGGAAGUGAAACGGAGGGCCGGCGUCUCGUCUCCUCCUUGGGAGCGAGGGCGAGGGCGAGCCCGUUCCCUCCGCGGGGCUGCUCGCCUCCUCUCUGCCUCGGGGACAGGGGUCCAAGCUGCCUCAGCCUCCGGUUCUUCUCCAGCAGCAGCAGCAGCAGCAGCAGCAGCAGCUGGUCCUCCUUCUCUCCCGUCUGCCUGUCUCUAUUGUUCAGCCCUGCUCAGCUCUCUCCUCUUUAUUUUUCCUCCUCCUCCUCCCUCCCUCCCCUCCCUCUCUCUCCCUCUCACUCUCUCUCUACCUCCCUCCCUCGCCUGCUCGCUCUUUAGCUCCCUCCCUCCUACUCUGGCUGGCUCCCUUCUCCCUCCUCCUACUCCUACUCCUCUCUUCUCCCUCCUCCCUCUUCCUCCUCCUCCUCCUAUUCCUCCUCCUCCUGCUCCUCCUCCGGCUCCUGAUCUUGCUCCCUCAACUCGGUGCCAACAAUGCCCCGGGCUGCUGGCUGCAGGCUGCGCCCGCCGGUGCAGGGGGUCCGGACCUGCCCUAGCCGGGUUCCCUCUCGACUCCGGGAAAUGCUUGCUCCUCUGUGCCCCUGCCUGCCCAGGGUCCAGCCGGCUGCCUCACCGGGAGGAGCUGCCGGAGGAACGAGACAAGAGCACAGCCCCGAGCUAUUGUUUGUGGCUGUGCUAGGCCAGCUUCCUGAGCCCCGCAGGAAAAGCUCUAGUGAAGGAAGCAUCCGAGAGAAGGGGGGCGGGGCACGGGCGAGGGGAGCCAGGGGGAGCUGGGGCCUGGGGUGCGCCAGAGUCUGGAUGGGGUGGAUUGGGGUGGGGAGGGCUGUCUUCUCAGGCGGGUAAAGGGAAUGUGUUCCUUCUUUUUUUCCUACUGCUCCUCGCUCUGGCUCAGACCCCCAAAAAGCACAGAGGGUAGCUUGCCCUCUUUUCCCGGGGUGUCCCUGAGCUUUUCGCCUUCCCUUUAGAGAAAGGACUGACCCGGAGCAAGCUUAUCUGAACUGGCUUCCCUUAUUCCUCCCCGUUACGUUCCCUUAUCCUUUUCCUGACUCUGGCAUUGACUUUCUAACAUCUAUUUACUCUACAGUCUCCUUUAUACAAUCUCCUUCCCCUACCUCUUCCUCCCUGGUCUCCUUUUCCUCUUCCUCCUUCCUCUCUUCUCCUCCUCACCCUUUCCUUACUCUCCUCCUCUCUGCAUGAGAUUUUCGACAUCCUUCCCCUUCUCUUAGUAUUCUCCCUCUUUCUUGCUUUCCUGGUCUCUCACUCUCAGUCUCUCUCACUUUCUUUUUUUAGUUCUCCUUUAAUGUGGAUACUUCCACCAUGCACUUCUGACCCCUCUCUUUACCUCUGUCCUUUCCCCUCUUUCUGUCUUCUCUUGUCUCUCUGUGUAUGUCUCUCUUCUCUCUUCCAAACUCUCUUCCCCUUCUCCUCCAGCUCUAAGAUGUUUGGCCUUAUCCUGAAUCUCUGUAGGUGGAUAGUUUCUAUCUUGGACAGCUGUCAAAACUCCCAAAUCUCUGGUGGGCUUUUAUGGUUUAUUCCUCUUCCCUGGCGUAGAUGAGAUCAAGUUAGGCAGGAGAAAGGAGAUGUUCUCUCAAGCUGAAUGUGAAUUAAAGUAGGAGAGAGGGACUUGGUGGAGGAGUAAGGGGGUGGGGUGGGAGUGAAAGCAGAUGCUGGCAGGGUAAUUAAUGCAGUGAUUGUACUGUGCCAAUUGGUUUUUAAACAAUAAUUAAACAAUAAUUAGCCAGUGCUCUGUUUACAGUUUAAGAGGCUAUGGGAGCCUAGAGAACAAAGGGUAUCCCUACCUGAGUACUUAGAGGAAACACCUACCUCUAUUUCACCCUACCUAUUAGAUAGAUGCUGACCCCAUUUUGCAUGCUCUCUUACUCACUCUUGGCUGAAAAGUAAUGUUCCAUGAUCAUAAAUGUAACAGAAGACCAUCCUUGGGGCCUAUUGGGUUCUAGUCCUCCUGGUUUCCACCUCCCCCAGGGAACCAAGAAAUCUGCAACCUUCCUUGCCACUCUCCCCAAGAUAUCCAAAUGUCUCUAUUUAUAUAAGUUCUAGAGCUCUGUAGGAAGAAAUGUCCUGAAAUAAGAGAGGAAAUAUACUUCAGUGGGAAAAGUCAAGAGAUCAGUGUUCUAGUCUCAACAUUGACACCUAAUAACCAUCAGUGACAGACCAUGUAACAUUUCUCAACUUCAGGCUUCACUUCUGUAAAAUGGGAAUAAAGUUUGCACUACCUAACUCA